This 340-nucleotide long non-coding RNA is filed under the name Prunus dulcis (almond). The record is from RNAcentral. Lineage: Eukaryota; Viridiplantae; Streptophyta; Magnoliopsida; Rosales; Rosaceae.
AUGGCUGACAACUCUCAGAAGAUGAGCUACCACGCUGGAGAGGCCAAGGGCCAAGCUCAGGUAAUUAGCUCACCUAUUAUUCUCCAUUUGUUUUUGCUUAUUUAUUCUGUUUCCAUUAAAUAUAUUAUAUUUAUAUGUGAAUGUGCAUUGAGAUUGAUGUGGGGUGUUUUGUAUUGGAUAAUUUUGGAUUUAACAGGAGAAGGCCAGUGGGAUGAUGGAUAUGGCUAACAAUGCAGCCCAAUCUACCAAGGAGACAAUGCAAGAUGCUGGUCAGAAUGUGCAGGCCAAGGCUCAGGGAGCUGCUGAUGCAGUCAAGAAUGCCACUGGCAUGAACAAAUGA